GAUUAUGGCUCAGGAUGAACGCUAGCGGCAGGCCUAACACAUGCAAGUCGCGGGGCAGCACGGGUAGCAAUACCUGGUGGCGACCGGCGCACGGGUGCGUAACGCGUAUGCAACCUGCCCCCAUCAGGGGAAUAGCCCGCCGAAAGGCGGAUUAAUGCCCCAUAGGCCCAGGGCGCCGCAUGGCGCUAUGGGUAAAGCUCCGGCGGAUGGGGAUGGGCAUGCGUGCCAUUAGCUAGUUGGGCGGUAACGGCGCACCAAGGCGACGAUGGCUAGGGGGUCUGAGAGGAUGGUCCCCACACUGGUACUGAGACACGGACCAGACUCCUACGGGAGGCAGCAGUGAGGAAUAUUGGUCAAUGGGCGGAAGCCUGAACCAGCCAUGCCGCGUGCAAGGAUGACGGCCCUACGGGUUGUAAACUGCUUUUGUAUGGGAGCAAUAAGGGCUACGCGUAGUCCGAUGAGAGUACCAUACGAAUAAGCACCGGCUAACUCCGUGCCAGCCGCCGC
This 507-nucleotide ribosomal RNA is filed under the name uncultured bacterium. Its description in RNAcentral is "bacterial SSU rRNA". It matches the Rfam family "Bacterial small subunit ribosomal RNA", at positions 15 to 518 of the family's 1533-position model. The record is from RNAcentral.